GACGAACGCUGGCGGCGUGCUUAACACAUGCAAGUCGAACGGAAAGGCCCUGCUUUUGUGGGGUGCUCGCGUGGCGAACGGGUGAGUAACACGUGAGUAACCUGCCCUUGACUUUGGGAUAACUUCAGGAAACUGGGGCUAAUACCGGUUAGGAGCUCCUGCUGCAUGGUGGGGGUUGGAAAGUUUCGGCGGUUGGGGAUGGACUCGCGGCUUAUCAGCUUGUUGGUGGGGUAGUGGCUUACCAAGGCUUUGACGGGUAGCCGGCCUGAGAGGGUGACCGGCAACAUGGGGACUGAGAUACGGCCCAGACUCCUACGGGAGGCAGAAGUGGGGAAUAUUGCACAAUGGGCGGAAGACUGAUGCAGCAACGCCGCGUGCGGGAUGACGGCCUUCGGGUUGUAAACCGCUUUCGCCUGUGACGAAGCGUGAGUGACGGUAAUGGGUAAAGAAGCACCGGAUAACUACGUG
Molecule: ribosomal RNA, 468 nt
Filed under: uncultured bacterium
Lineage: Bacteria
Description: partial 16S ribosomal RNA
Rfam family: Bacterial small subunit ribosomal RNA
Source: RNAcentral